RNAcentral lists this long non-coding RNA (1356 nucleotides) under Homo sapiens (human). RNAcentral describes it as "HSALNT0153142". Lineage: Eukaryota; Metazoa; Chordata; Mammalia; Primates; Hominidae. The record is from RNAcentral.
CCUGGGAGAAGGUAAUUUGUUAUUUUAAAUGAGGUGGUCAGGGUAGGGCUCCCUGAGAAGAUAUUUGAGUGGACUCGGGAGGAGAGGGAGUUAGCCACAUGGACUUAUUGGGGAAGAGUGUUUCAGGCAGACAGAAAAGCUAAAGAAAAGGUCCAAAAGCAGGAGUGUGUCACUGGUGUUUGAGGAAGGCAAAGAAGCAAGUGUGACUGGAGCAGAGUAAAAAAGGGGAGAGUGGAAGGAGGAGUGCUCAGAUGGUAAGAGACUGUGUCAGAAUAUGGAAGAGCUUGAGAACUGAUAUGGUUUGGAUAUUUGUCCCUGCUCAAAUCUCAUGUUGUGUUGUAAUCCUCAAUGCUGGAGGUGGGGCCUGGUGGGACAUGCUUGGGUCAUGGGGGUGGAUCCCUCAUGGCUUGGUGCUUGUUUAGUGAUAGUGAGUUCUCAUCAGAUUUGGCUGUUUAAAAAUGUGUGGCACCUCUCUCUCUCUCUGUCUCUUUUCUUUUGCUCUCUCUCUUGCUCCUGCUUUCAACAUGUGACAUGCCUGUUCCCCCUUCACCUUCUAUGAUUGAAAGCUCCCUGAGACUUCACCAAAAGCAAGCAGAUGCCAACAUAAUGCUUCCUGUAAAGCCAGCAGAAUCAUGAGCCAAUUAAACCUCUUUUCUUUGUAAAUUACCCAGUCUCAGGUAUUUCUUUAUAGCCAUGCAAGAACAGCCUAAGGGAAGGCCCUAGAAAGGACUCUGGGUUUUACUCGAAGUGAAAUAGGGAGCCAUUAAAGGGUUUUGAGCCAAAGAGUGAUCUGAUCUAACCUAGAUCUUAAAAUAAUCACACAGCUGCUCUGCUGAUACCAGACUGUAGGGGGAAGAAGGACAAUAAGGGAAGCAGGAAGAUGUGUUUGCAGGCUUUUUGCAGUGAUCAAGAAGCGGCUUGGACCAGAAUGGUAGCAGGGGAGGUGUGUUAACUGGUGAAAGUUAGGAUGUCUUUAAAGGUAGAGUCAAUCUCCAGAUGGAUUAGAUGUGAGGUGUGGAACAAAGAGGCCAAACCAAAAACCCAAAGGUUUCUGCUUGAGUAACUGCAAGGACAGACUUACUAUUUGAGAUGAAUAAGCUGUAGGAAGAGUAGAUUUCAAGGGGAAAAUCAUCAGUAGCUCUGUUUUGGACAAGUUGACCUUGAGAUGUAUACUGGUUAUACUCUUCUCUGAAAGUGGCUCCAGGUCUGAAGAACUGUGGUCUGGGAGGAAUAGAAAAGCAUGCUCAGCUAUAACCAGGCCCACAUCCCCUAAGUUGCCUGCCCACCAAGUUACGGGCCGGACUUAUGCGCCACGCUUUGUCCGGGGACCUCGCGCUGUCCUCCCUCCGGUUCCCA